This is a long non-coding RNA of Eurytemora carolleeae, 175 nucleotides long. RefSeq lists it as uncharacterized. NCBI's taxonomy places the organism in Eukaryota, Metazoa, Arthropoda, Copepoda, Calanoida, Temoridae. The record is from RefSeq and is a predicted model, not a curated record. The transcript is spliced from 3 exons.
CCUGGAGAGAGAAGGUCUACAUAAAGUAAACACAGAGAAAUCUUGUAUUCCUGAAUUUGAUCCUAGAUGUAAAGAUACGGGCGGAAUUUCUUCCAACAUGUACAGAAUAAUUAUCAGGAGUAGUGUUGAGGCCCCAGAUGUGACAAUAGCUGCUGAAAACAUUUCUGAAUAUCAG